CUCGAAGUCAGAAAGAAGUAGGGGACACAUCAGGCAGGGAGAGACAUCUAGAGAGAGUAGUCAAAGGCUGCACAAUUGUGAUAUACUCUUUAAAAUUUUCAGGGUGUUGUCAGAUGCCAGUCGUUCAUGCUCAUCGGUGUGGCCGGAUCACUCCUCGGAUCAGUCCCAUGUUUUCUCGAGGGUUGCGGUGAAGUUCUGAGAUCAUUCUUCCUGCAGUUUUGCCAUGUCGCAGACAAUAGAUCAAGCUGAGAUUGUAAAGCUGCUGAUCGAGGCAAUAGGUACGCCCCUUAUCAUCACUUGACAAAUCAAACUCUGAUUCUUCUUCUUCAGACAUGUUCCUGAUCUGCACCGCUCUUCUCACGUUUGGCAUGGGAAUGUGCAUCAUGUUCUACGGCUCCCGGAGCAUUCAGAAACCAGGAAUGCAAGUCGAUAACUUGCACCUGGGAUCCUUCAACCUAAAGAAGCUGAAAGAAGGGGCCAGGAUCCAGUCGAUCACGCAGGCGAAGACGAGGAUCGGGCACGCCAUACUCCUGCCACGCCGCCGCCGCCUCCUCCUCUCCCGCCUGGCCACAUCGCCCCGGCAGCCUCCUCCCCAGCCGCCGGCCGGCUUGCCCAGAGAAGAGAAUAGAAGCAAAGAGACAGAGAGGAGGAAGGGAGAGGAGGGGUAAGAGAGAUGACGUGGCAUCUUGACAUGUG
Long non-coding RNA from Oryza sativa Japonica Group (Japanese rice), 696 nucleotides. RefSeq lists it as uncharacterized. The record is from RefSeq and is a predicted model, not a curated record. Lineage: Eukaryota; Viridiplantae; Streptophyta; Magnoliopsida; Poales; Poaceae.